GCUGGGGGGAAAAAAACCAAGACAAAUUAAAUUGAAGUUAGAAAAAUGACAAUAGGUGAGAAAGCCCUAUGUAUAGGAGGUAGCAGACCAGAUCUGAUUUAUUAUUUAUAUAAUCACAGUUGGCCUACAUUCUCAUACUGUUUGCAAGGUCUUUGUCACUUGUUUAGCAACAACACUUUAACUGGGAUUCUCCCCUCAUCAUGUAGCACGUUCACACACACACUGCUGUUGCUAAUACCAUUUCUGAAGUUAUUCUUGCAGCAAAUCCAUGAUCCUCAUGGUUGCUUUUCAUAUGCUCUACUCAGGACUAUCACCUACAUCUCUGGCAUUUAAGAACAAUGAAGUUGCUCAAUGAAGUGAAAGUACCCGGUCUGUUUUAAGGAUCUUAAGACUUAAAAACAAGUCAGUGAGAUACUAAAACAGAACAGCAAAGUCAUGGCUAAGGACAUGGGAUUUAUCUGUGAGUAACUAAAAUUAUGUCUCAUUGUUACCAGAACCCCUUAUGGAUGUUUCACUGAAUAAUAACCCUAGAUAAGAAUUGGUUGUUAUUUCUAUCAGGAGAUAGCAAAUUGUUCUGUUUGAAGAGGUAAUCAGCUACAUUUAGCAAAUGGAAAAGAGAGAGAAAGCCAUGUGUCAAGAUCAACCAGGAGCCAGAUCAAGAACAAUGUUCCCCCCUACCACAUCCCCUUCAUUUCUCCUCCUCUAAGGUCUUCCUGGUAAUGAUUUUGUAUCCAGCAAAUUUAAGGCUUACAGAAAUUGUUAAUUUUCUUGCAUAUACUUAGCAAAAUACAAUAUACAGCUAAUCUAGUAACAUCAAAACUUAAUGGUACUACAUCAUACAACAGGUAAAUCACAUUACCUAUGCUCAGUGUGUAUGUACAUCAAGACUUAAAUAAACAAGAAAGCAGAGAUUUGUGCCUAUAAAGGCACAACUUCUGUCCUGUCCUUUGCUCAUAGCAGAUGCCUACUGAAAUGGAUAUUAAGUAGUUGAUCUCCAUGGAACAAAAUCCACCUUCUAGGAUCCUGGACACUACUGGCAAGACUUUGAGAAAGUGAACCAACAGCUGCAAGCAAUCCCUAGCAAGAUAAUAUGAGAAGCAGAUGGAAACUGAAGUGAAACUGGCUAACAGUUCACUUAUCACAGAAUAAAGACUGGACAAAUUAUUUCCCUGUCUAUUCAAGCAGUCAGAGAGGCAUAUGCAAUACACACUAAAGUAUUAAUUUUAAAGGAUCAGAUGCAUUGUGAGAAAGCUAAAACAAAGUUGGUGGGGGUCCACCACCAGAUGUCCUAUAAGUCCCAGGACUUGUAUGUCCUUGUAUGUCCUGGGACAUACAAGUCCUAAUUUAAAAAAAAAAAGAUAAAAAGCCAGUGUCCUGCCCAUUUUAACUUUAGAAUAUAUUCAUAGGUUCAAGAAAUAUUCUCUCUGUAUGACAAAAACAAAAAAACUUGUAGGAUUUUGAGUCAAAGGGACAAACCAAGAUCUGGCAUAAGACACAGGCACAGCUCUGCUGAAUAAAGAUGAUGAUUUUCUUCCACACCAUUAAACCAGAUGAGGUUAAAUUUAACAGUUAAUCUCAGUGUCUGCAGGACUACAAACAGUGGACAACAAAAACAAGGCAUCGUAUUUAUGAUUCAUGUGCUCUUUAUGUACCCUACAAUACCAUCCCAUACCCAAACAGAAUUAGGCUGGUCUCUUCACUGUGCAGCAUUCAAAAUGAAAUGGUGGAACAGGUGUGUUGGACUGCUGAAGUUUCAGUUUUGUGUAUGUAAUGGAAAGACUUAAUGAAAUGUUAUGUUAUGUCCUCCCCCAAACUCAUGAACAAACCGAAAGUUGUGGGGGUUUUUUUCCAAUUUAAUAAAGAGAAACAACCACCAUCAGAUUAUAUUUGUAGCAGAUUUCUAAAGGAUUUUUUUCUCUUUAAUUUAAAUAUUUUUAAAUAUUAGAUAGUUAAUUAUUUCUUCCUGCAAAGAUCAAAGUCUUCCUAUGUGCAAAGAGAAGAAUAAAAAGAAGGACUUAUCUCCAGACAAGUAGCUGCAUGGAAACUGUGUUGAUAUAACACCAAGGAAUCAUCCUGGUUAUUUUCAAUGUAUGAACUGUUUGUAGUGUGAAGGCUAUUUCUGAAAGUUCAUUUUUUUGCAGAUUCAGAUUACAAAAAUACUUGGCACUUUCAUAUUGCCUCAUAUUGUGAAGUGUUGUACAUUUCAUAUAAUAUUGGAACUGUAAUUUUAUCAAUUAUAAGCAUGCAUCUAUUUUGCAGAUGUCCUUGUACACAAAAUAAAUGAAAUAUUCCCCAUUAUCACGAUAAAUUGA
Long non-coding RNA from Parus major (Great Tit), 2312 nucleotides. RefSeq lists it as uncharacterized. The transcript has 2 exons. The record is from RefSeq and is a predicted model, not a curated record. NCBI's taxonomy places the organism in Eukaryota, Metazoa, Chordata, Aves, Passeriformes, Paridae.